RNAcentral lists this ribosomal RNA (301 nucleotides) under uncultured bacterium. RNAcentral's name for it is "partial 16S ribosomal RNA". It matches the Rfam family "Bacterial small subunit ribosomal RNA", at positions 509 to 807 of the family's 1533-position model. The record is from RNAcentral.
CAGCAGCCACGGGAACACGAAGGGGGCUAGCGUUGCUCGGAAUCACUGGGCGUAAAGGGUGCGUAGGCGGGUUUUUAAGUCAGAGGUGAAAUCCUGGAGCUCAACUCCAGAACUGCCUUUGAUACUGAAAGUCUUGAGUAUGGGAGAGGUGAGUGGAACUGCGAGUGUAGAGGUGAAAUUCGUAGAUAUUCGCAAGAACACCAGUGGCGAAGGCGGCUCACUGGCCCAUAACUGACGCUGAGGCACGAAAGCGUGGGGAGCAAACAGGAUUAGAUACCCCAGUAGUCCCUGUCUCUUAUAC